Carassius auratus (goldfish) is the source of this 2200-nucleotide long non-coding RNA. The record is from Ensembl. Lineage: Eukaryota; Metazoa; Chordata; Actinopteri; Cypriniformes; Cyprinidae.
GACGCUUUCAACAGGCAGAAUGUCGGGUUUAUGCUUUUUUUUCUCCUCUGUUGGGAUGAUGAUGAUGAAGACGAGGAGAGCAUGCUGUCACACAUGGCUCCUGACGACAGAUAAGAUGAGCUGGAGGUCCAGAGAUCCUGACAUUUCCUUAAUGCAUCUCACCUCUUUCUUUAUAAUUGGCUGCUGUUGAUAGAUUCCUCUUCUUUGCAUGCCAACACUCUGUAAUAACGCUCUGACAUCAGUCUCAGAGAGUGUUACCAUAUAUACACACCUGUGUCAUCACCGUUUGCAUGUCUCACACCAGCCAAAUCCUUUUUCUUAUGUUCUCAGGAAUCCUUCAUGUCCUGCAUGAAAUGAUGACUGACUCACGGACAACGGAAGGCAUCAUGAAUAGCUCCUCGGGUCUUCGAGCUCAGAAGAUGCUGCUCCAGCAGUGCUGUCAGAUCCUGUUUCUCCUGCUGUCUCCCUCUGAAGCUCCUCACACAAACACACACAUCCUAAAUUGUGUCGCCGCGGGGGAAAUGUGCCACACCGCCACCGAGCCGGAACCCAAAACUAAUUAUUCCCUUAAUCCAGCCAGAAGAGAGACGGAGAAAAAAUAAUUAGUGUAAACACACGGGGCACUGGAUCAUAGAGCAUUGUUAGAAAGACCUUGUUAAUAUCAUGUCUCGGAUUGUCCAUCUGGAGUUUGUGAAGAGCUUUUACAGGAAUUAAGGGAAAAAAAAAAACAAGGCUUUCGAAUAAAGCAAUAUAAAUUUGAAACAUCAUUUUGAAAUUUUUUUUUUUUUUUUUUUUUUUGUAAGACUUUACCCAUCUUGAAUUACACUUAAGAGUCCUGGUCUUUUAUUAAAUGAAUUCACACCUUGAUUUCAUCUGAAUUAUAUGCUUACAGUAGCUGCAGUGCUUUUCAAGUAAUUAUUAAUAAUUAAAGUGGCCUGAGACUUUUUAAUAGACUAAUUAGCAGCUAGAUGUGAUAGAAAGAUAAAAAGCUAAUUAUAAGAUGCAACAUUCAAGGCUUCGGUGCAUAUUCAUUGUAUAUCGAUGCAUAUCCGUAUUUUUGUUGUGUUAUUUAUUUUAUUUAUUUAUUGCCAUCUAUAGAGCCAUGCAUCCCAUCCAAAGGGGUCAAAGAGGUCAUUCUGCUUAUUGUAUGAUAUUUCCCACCUCCAGAUUAAUAUAUAUAUUGUUAAUUACACAGACUAUAGCCCACGAUGAGCAGAGGUGGGUAGUAACGAGUUACAUUUACUUCGUUACAUUUACUUGAGUAUUUUUUGGGGGGUAACUAAUACUUUUUGGAGUAUAUUUAAAGAUGGGGAGGCUAGUUUUACUCUUACUUGAGUAAUUUUUUGGGGAAAAAUCUGUACUUUACUUCUUUACUGUGGGCGACGCUCCUCUCGUUACUUAAUUUUAAUGCAAUAAAUGUUAUAAAUGCUUCAGUUUAUUCCAAACGCGCGUCUACAUUUCUCUGGACAAUGAGCGAUGCCCAUUCGCGAAUGAUUCAUUCUUUUGAGUCAAUUCUGUUCAAAGGCUUGAUCAAAGGAGUGAAUCGGUUCAUGAAUCAGUUUGAAUGAUUCGUUCAGUUCCCUGCCGCACGCGCUGAGCGUCUGAAGCGGUUCACUCAAAGAGUUGUAACGUUUAACAUCAGCAGCGUUGAAAACGUGGCUAAUCUGCAAAGGCUAUUAUUUGCUUGCGAUGGAGAUCCUUAUUAGAUGAACACCGCGUGUGCUGUCUACUGUUCAACAGGUAAUAACUUGGGCUACAUUCACUUACAGUACACGAUACCACUGUGACAUUAGUUUGUUAUACGUGUGUGGCUUAUAAAAGAGGGGAGUCAAGUUGAAUGCAGCAUCCAAGAGACAAAAAAUAGCCGAUUAAGAUUUUAUUAAUUUUAAUACGAGUAUGUUCAGCGAGUCAUAUCAUCAGCUGCUAAAUUCAGAUCUGUGUUUGCUUGCUGGCGCUGAGCCAGAGACAACGCGUUUUUACAGCGCUGCGCAUUAACCAAUCACACAAGAUUCUGUUGAGCUUUUGAAUGCAAUGGCCAAUCAGAGGCGUUCAGAUGAGUCAUCGCUGACGCUGAUGCUUCCUUCACUCGCUCACUGACUGAAUACCUCUUUCUGGCGAAUUCUCUCGUCAGAAACAACAAAGUGCAGAUAUGUAUACGAAUCUAUAAUUAAGAUAUUGAUUUCACAGUGUUAACAGUUUA